Long non-coding RNA from Centropristis striata (black sea bass), 838 nucleotides. RefSeq lists it as uncharacterized. NCBI's taxonomy places the organism in Eukaryota, Metazoa, Chordata, Actinopteri, Perciformes, Serranidae. The transcript is spliced from 3 exons. The record is from RefSeq and is a predicted model, not a curated record.
UGGGACCUUCUCCACAAUCCAAAGACAUGUCACUUAAGGAGACCAGCCAAGGACAGUUUGAAUGGACGUUAAGGCCUUGAGGGGACGCCACGUGGAUCCAUCGCCAAUAAGUCUGAAUCCAGCAUCCUGCAUUGCCUAAAUUUUAUUUGAAUUCCACCCACCCAAGAGACCAACACUGGGAUACUUGAUCCAGGAGCAGGACUGAAAUCAAACAGCUUGGUUCAAUGAAAGACCCCCCGGACAGCCGCAGUGGAAGUCCAUCACUGGGUCACAGCCUCAAUCCGUCACUGUCUGCUGCUGCUAUCAAGAGCAGGUCCAAGGAGAAGACGGGAGUGACUCAGGACUGCAGCGCUCCACUCCACUCUUUAGGUCAGACACUUGAUAAAUGUUGUAUUUUUCAUAUUUUCCUUGCCGAGCGGCCUCAUUAAAUCCAUACAAAGAUGUAGUUUCGAAGAUGAGUUGCUCUGAGACAAUCUGAAAUGAACCGCAGCUCAAUUUUAAGCAGAACUCCUUAAUAUAUUUAUAAUAUGAAUAUUGAUGUUAUUUCUCCUGCAAAUAUAGUGGCCCGUGCUUCCCGGGAGGCAGGUACGAAGAGAAUGAAUCUUCAAUCUGACUGCAAUCAAACAGCUUAGUUCACUAAAAGAUCUCUCCCUCCCACCUGCACCGACUGCAGUGCAGGUCCAGGUUAUAACCUCAAUCCCUCACUCUGAGGUUGGAGAUAGACUGUAUUCACUUUCCAUUCAGCCAGCGCUUAUGUGCUCUGAAUUCAAACUCAAAUUGCCUACCAGAAACCUUGAGGUAUUUGAGUUAAUCCAGACUGAAUAUACACCUUAAAGAU